UGCGGAUGAUCAUUACCGAGUGCGGGUCCCCUUCGUGGGACCCAACCUCCCACCCGUGAUUAUUGUACCUCCUGUUGCUUCGGCGCGGCCCCCCGGGGCCCGCCGGAGACAUCUUCUCGAACGCUGUCUUUGAAAAGGAUUGCUGUCUGAGUAAACAUACCAAAUCGGUUAAAACUUUCAACAACGGAUCUCUUGGUUCCGGCAUCGAUGAAGAACGCAGCGAAAUGCGAUAAGUAAUGUGAAUUGCAGAAUUCAGUGAAUCAUCGAAUCUUUGAACGCACAUUGCGCCCCCUGGUAUUCCGGGGGGCAUGCCUGUCCGAGCGUCAUUACUGCCCCUCAAGCGCGGCUUGUGUGUUGGGCCGCCGUCCCCUGCGCCUCCGGGCAAGGGGGACGGGCCCGAAAGGCAGUGGCGGCGCCGCGUCCGGUCCUCGAGCGUAUGGGGCUUUGUCACCCGCUCAGUAGGUCGGGCCGGGGCCUUUGCCCUCUCCAACCUUUUUUUCCUUAGGUUGACCUCGGAUCAGGUAGGGAUACCCGCUGAACUUAAGCAUAUCAAUAAGCGGAGGAAAAGAAACCAACCGGGAUUGCCUCAGUAACGGCGAGUGAAGCGGCAAGAGCUCAAAUUUGAAAGCUGGCCCCUCCGGGGUCCGCAUUGUAAUUUGC
RNAcentral lists this unclassified non-coding RNA (660 nucleotides) under Monascus purpureus. Its description in RNAcentral is "sequence contains 18S rRNA gene, ITS1, 5.8S rRNA gene, ITS2". The stretch from base 173 to 326 matches the Rfam family "5.8S ribosomal RNA". Lineage: Eukaryota; Fungi; Ascomycota; Eurotiomycetes; Eurotiales; Aspergillaceae. The record is from RNAcentral.